RNAcentral lists this ribosomal RNA (456 nucleotides) under Streptococcus parasanguinis. RNAcentral describes it as "bacterial SSU rRNA". It matches the Rfam family "Bacterial small subunit ribosomal RNA", at positions 28 to 469 of the family's 1533-position model. The record is from RNAcentral. Lineage: Bacteria; Bacillati; Bacillota; Bacilli; Lactobacillales; Streptococcaceae.
GAUGAACGCUAGCGGCGUGCCUAAUACAUGCAAGUAGAACGCUGAAGCUUGGUGCUUGCACCGAGCGGAUGAGUUGCGAACGGGUGAGUAACGCGUAGGUAACCUGCCUCUUAGCGGGGGAUAACUAUUGGAAACGAUAGCUAAUACCGCAUAAAAGUCGAUAUCGCAUGAUAUUGAUUUGAAAGGUGCAAUUGCAUCACUAAGAGAUGGACCUGCGUUGUAUUAGCUAGUUGGUGAGGUAACGGCUCACCAAGGCGACGAUACAUAGCCGACCUGAGAGGGUGAUCGGCCACACUGGGACUGAGACACGGCCCAGACUCCUACGGGAGGCAGCAGUAGGGAAUCUUCGGCAAUGGGGGCAACCCUGACCGAGCAACGCCGCGUGAGUGAAGAAGGUUUUCGGAUCGUAAAGCUCUGUUGUAAGAGAAGAACGAGUGUGAGAGGGAAAGUUCACAC